This 305-nucleotide ribosomal RNA is filed under the name uncultured bacterium. RNAcentral describes it as "partial 16S ribosomal RNA". It matches the Rfam family "Bacterial small subunit ribosomal RNA", at positions 505 to 809 of the family's 1533-position model. The record is from RNAcentral.
ACAGCAGUAGCCACGGUAAUACAGAGGAUGCAAGCGUUAUCCGGAAUGAUUGGGCGUAAAGCGUCUGUAGGUGGCUUUUCAAGUCCGCCGUCAAAUCCCAGGGCUCGACCCUGGACAGGCGGUGGAAACUACCAAGCUGGAGUACGGUAGGGACAGAGGGAAUUUCCGGUGGGGCGGUGAAAUGCGUUGAGAUCGGAAAGAACACCAACGGCGAAAGCACUCUGCUGGGCCGACACUGACACUGAGAGACGAAAGCUAGGGGAGCAAAUGGGAUUAGAUACCCCCGUAGUCCCUGUCUCUUAUAA